UCUGACGGAGCAACGCCGCGUGAGUGAUGAAGGCUUUCGGGUCGUAAAACUCUGUUGUUAGGGAAGAACAAGUACUAGAGUAACUGCUCGUACCUUGACGGUACCUAACCAUAAAGCCACGGCUAACUACAUGCCAGCAGCCGCGGUAAUACGUAAGUGGCAAGCGUUAUCCGGAAUUAUUGGGCGUAAAGCGCGCGCAGGCAGUUUCUUAAGUCUGAUGUGAAAGCCCACGGCUCAACCGUGGAAGGUCAUUGGAAACUGGGGAACUUGAGUGCAGAAUAGAAAAGCGGAAUUCCACGUGUAGCGGUGAAAUGCGUAUAGAUGUGGAGGAACACCAGUGGCGAACGCAGCUUUAUGGUCUGUAACUGACGCUGAGGCGCGAAAGCGU
RNAcentral lists this ribosomal RNA (388 nucleotides) under Bacillus sp. B5. RNAcentral's name for it is "bacterial SSU rRNA". It matches the Rfam family "Bacterial small subunit ribosomal RNA", at positions 382 to 762 of the family's 1533-position model. Lineage: Bacteria; Bacillati; Bacillota; Bacilli; Caryophanales; Bacillaceae. The record is from RNAcentral.